CAAAAGGUAAUGAGAAAGAGGAGUACACAUAAGUCGCUUGAAAGAGAGAACCGCUCUUAGGCUGAAAGGUGGUUUCAAGAUAGAAAUGUAGAAGGUAGCUUUCGAACCGGAUUUCUGAACUGUGUAUAAUUAUAUAAUAAGGUCAAAGUAGGAAGUCACGGGGUGGUUCACGUUAAAGAACCGACGAGAUAUAUAUGAAAGAUUUCGUAUAUAACAAAGGUGGUACCGCGAUUAUUCGCCCUUUAC
RNAcentral lists this non-coding RNA (246 nucleotides) under Faecalimonas nexilis. Its description in RNAcentral is "Clostridium nexile T-box sequence". It matches the Rfam family "T-box leader". From Rfam's summary of the family: Uncharged tRNA acts as the effector for transcription antitermination of genes in the T-box leader family. T-boxes are found upstream of many aminoacyl-tRNA synthetase genes and some amino acid biosynthetic genes usually in Gram-positive bacteria. The record is from RNAcentral. Lineage: Bacteria; Bacillati; Bacillota; Clostridia; Lachnospirales; Lachnospiraceae.